RNAcentral lists this ribosomal RNA (328 nucleotides) under uncultured Moryella sp. RNAcentral's name for it is "bacterial SSU rRNA". It matches the Rfam family "Bacterial small subunit ribosomal RNA", at positions 28 to 339 of the family's 1533-position model. The record is from RNAcentral. Lineage: Bacteria; Bacillati; Bacillota; Clostridia; Lachnospirales; Lachnospiraceae.
GAUGAACGCUGGCGGCGUGCUUAACACAUGCAAGUCGAACGGAACUUAUUGAAUGAAGUUUUCGGAUGGAUUUUGAUAAGUUUAGUGGCGGACGGGUGAGUAACGCGUGGGUAACCUGCCCUGUACAGGGGGAUAACAGUUAGAAAUGACUGUUAAUACCGCAUAAGACCACAGUGCCGCAUGGCACAGGGGUAAAAGCUGCGACGGUACAGGAUGGACCCGCGUCCGAUUAGAUAGUUGGUGAGGUAACGGCCCACCAAGUCGACGAUCGGUAGCCGAUCUGAGAGGACGAACGGCCACAUUGGGACUGAGACACGGCCCAAACUCC